GUGAAUCAUCCAAGUCAGUGGAGGAAGAGGCUGUUGACCAGGAUGAAGAUGAAAAUGACUCAGUCAUGAAUGGCUCUCCUGGAGGAAGAAGAGUAAGGCGAGCACUGGAAAGGGAAAUCUUGAAGAAAUCAGGUGAAUCAUCCAAGUCAGUGGAGGGAGAUGCUGUUGACCAGGAUGAAGAUGAAUGCCUCAAUCACGAAUGAUUCCCCUGGAGGAGGUAGACAAGGGGAAGCAGACGGAAAUCUCAAGGAAAAAAUUGA
Orbicella faveolata is the source of this 260-nucleotide long non-coding RNA. NCBI's taxonomy places the organism in Eukaryota, Metazoa, Cnidaria, Anthozoa, Scleractinia, Merulinidae. The record is from RefSeq and is a predicted model, not a curated record.